RNAcentral lists this ribosomal RNA (350 nucleotides) under uncultured eukaryote. RNAcentral describes it as "SSU rRNA". It matches the Rfam family "Eukaryotic small subunit ribosomal RNA", at positions 567 to 978 of the family's 1831-position model. The record is from RNAcentral.
CCAGCAGCUGCGGUAAUUCCAGCUCCAAUAGCGUAUAUUAAUGCUGCUGCAGUUAAAACGCUCGUAGUUUGUGUGAGGCUGAGGACGAGUGGGUGCUGUGAAGCGCAAACCAGUCCUUGGCCCUUUGAGACUUUGGUCUCAGGUUACUUUGAAGAAAUUAGAGUGUUCAUGGCGGGCUGAGCUUGGAUACAUUAGCAUGGAAUGACGGAAAGCAAUCUGCUGGUUCAGUGGUGCGCGGGGUUGAGAGGGACAGUUGGGGGCAUUGGUAUUCCGCAGUCAGAGGUGAAAUUCUUGGAUUUGCGGAGGACUCACGAGUGCGAAGGCAUUUGCCAAGGAUGUUUUCAUUGAUC